AGAGUUUGAUCAUGGCUCAGGAUGAACGCUAGCUGGAGGCUUAAUACAUGCAAGUCGAGCGGGAUUGGUAGCAAUACCAUGAGAGCGGCGCACGGGUGAGUAACGCGUACACGACCUACCUCUGACAGGGGGAUAGCCCUGGGAAACUGGGAUUAAUACCGCAUAUUAUUCUGAUUAAUAAAGGAUUGGAAUGAAAGUUCAGGCGGUCAGAGAUGGGUGUGCGUCUGAUUAGCUAGUUGGUAGGGUAAUGGCCUACCAAGGCGAUGAUCAGUAGGGGGCGUGAGAGCGUGAUCCCCCACACGGGUACUGAGACACGGACCCGACUCCUACGGGAGGCAGCAGUAAGGAAUAUUGGACAAUGGCCGCAAGGCUGAUCCAGCCAUCCAGCGUGCAGGAAGAAGGCCCUAUGGGUUGUAAACUGCUUUUAUCAGGGAAGAAACCUGUGGAUUCACUCCGCAGCUGACGGUACCUGAAGAAUAAGCACCGGCUAACUCCGUGCCAGCCGCCGCGGUAAUAC
RNAcentral lists this ribosomal RNA (517 nucleotides) under uncultured bacterium. RNAcentral's name for it is "bacterial SSU rRNA". It matches the Rfam family "Bacterial small subunit ribosomal RNA", at positions 8 to 526 of the family's 1533-position model. The record is from RNAcentral.